UAAUACGAAGGUGGCAAGCGUUGUUCGGAAUCACUGGGCUUAAAGCGCAUGUAGGCGGCCUAGAAAGCGUCUUGUGAAAUCCCUCGGCUCAACCGAGGAAUGGCUCGGCGAACUUCUAGACUUGAGGCAGGUAGGGGCACGUGGAACUCUUGGUGGAGCGGUGGAAUGCGUAGAUAUCAAGAGGAACGCCGGAGGCGAAAGCGACGUGCUGGACCUGACCUGACGCUCAGAUGCGAAAGCCAGGGGAGCGAACGGGAUUAGAUACCCCGGUAGUCCUGGCCCUAAACGACGUCCACUAGGUUGAGGCUUCUCUGACGGAGUCUCAGCCGCAGCAAAAGCAUUAAGUGGACCGCCUGGGGAGUACGGUCGCAAGGCUA
This 377-nucleotide ribosomal RNA is filed under the name uncultured Phycisphaerae bacterium. RNAcentral describes it as "bacterial SSU rRNA". It matches the Rfam family "Bacterial small subunit ribosomal RNA", at positions 521 to 896 of the family's 1533-position model. The record is from RNAcentral. Lineage: Bacteria; Pseudomonadati; Planctomycetota; Phycisphaerae.